GGGGGCGGCAGCCUACACAUGCAGUCGAGCGGAACGAGUUAUCUGAACCUUCGGGGAACGAUAACGGCGUCGAGCGGCGGACGGGUGAGUAAUGCCUAGGAAAUUGCCCUGAUGUGGGGGAUAACCAUUGGAAACGAUGGCUAAUACCGCAUGAUGCCUACGGGCCAAAGAGGGGGACCUUCGGGCCUCUCGCGUCAGGAUAUGCCUAGGUGGGAUUAGCUAGUUGGUGAGGUAAGGGCUCACCAAGGCGACGAUCCCUAGCUGGUCUGAGAGGAUGAUCAGCCACACUGGAACUGAGACACGGUCCAGACUCCUACGGGAGGCAGCAGUGGGGAAUAUUGCACAAUGGGCGCAAGCCUGAUGCAGCCAUGCCGCGUGUGUGAAGAAGGCCUUCGGGUUGUAAAGCACUUUCAGUCGUGAGGAAGGUAGUGUCGUUAAUAGCUGCAUUAUUUGACGUUAGCGACAGAAGAAGCACCGGCUAACUCCGUGCCAGCAGCCGCGGUAAUACGGAGGGUGCGAGCGUUAAUCGGAAUUACUGGGCGUAAAGCGCAUGCAGGUGGUUUGUUAAGUCAGAUGUGAAAGCCCGGGGCUCAACCUCGGAAUAGCAUUUGAAACUGGCAGACUAGAGUACUGUAGAGGGGGGUAGAAUUUCAGGUGUAGCGGUGAAAUGCGUAGAGAUCUGAAGGAAUACCGGUGGCGAAGGCGGCCCCCUGGACAGAUACUGACACUCAGAUGCGAAAGCGUGGGGAGCAAACAGGAUUAGAUACCCUGGUAGUCCACGCCGUAAACGAUGUCUACUUGGAGGUUGUGGCCUUGAGCCGUGGCUUUCGGAGCUAACGCGUUAAGUAGACCGCCUGGGGAGUACGGUCGCAAGAUUAAAACUCAAAUGAAUUGACGGGGGCCCGCACAAGCGGUGGAGCAUGUGGUUUAAUUCGAUGCAACGCGAAGAACCUUACCUACUCUUGACAUCCAGAGAACUUUCCAGAGAUGGAUUGGUGCCUUCGGGAACUCUGAGACAGGUGCUGCAUGGCUGUCGUCAGCUCGUGUUGUGAAAUGUUGGGUUAAGUCCCGCAACGAGCGCAACCCUUAUCCUUGUUUGCCAGCGAGUAAUGUCGGGAACUUC
RNAcentral lists this ribosomal RNA (1123 nucleotides) under Vibrio campbellii. RNAcentral's name for it is "bacterial SSU rRNA". It matches the Rfam family "Bacterial small subunit ribosomal RNA", at positions 35 to 1141 of the family's 1533-position model. The record is from RNAcentral. Lineage: Bacteria; Pseudomonadati; Pseudomonadota; Gammaproteobacteria; Vibrionales; Vibrionaceae.